GGUCAGGUAGCCUAGCUAGCGGUUAAGGCAGCCCAUGCGUGUUGGGUCCAGAUCCAUUGGAGCUGGUCGCUGGUUCAAAUCCAGCCUUGACCA
RNAcentral lists this transfer RNA (93 nucleotides) under Cronartium ribicola 11-2. Its description in RNAcentral is "tRNA-Thr (CGT) (tRNA-Thr-CGT-6-1)". It matches the Rfam family "tRNA". Rfam says of the family: Transfer RNA (tRNA) molecules are approximately 80 nucleotides in length. Their secondary structure includes four short double-helical elements and three loops (D, anti-codon, and T loops). Further hydrogen bonds mediate the characteristic L-shaped molecular structure. tRNAs have two regions of fundamental functional importance: the anti-codon, which is responsible for specific mRNA codon recognition, and the 3' end, to which the tRNAs corresponding amino acid is attached (by aminoacyl-tRNA synthetases). tRNAs cope with the degeneracy of the genetic code in two manners: having more than one tRNA (with a specific anti-codon) for a particular amino acid; and 'wobble' base-pairing, i.e. permitting non-standard base-pairing at the 3rd anti-codon position. The record is from RNAcentral. Lineage: Eukaryota; Fungi; Basidiomycota; Pucciniomycetes; Pucciniales; Coleosporiaceae.